GCUUACGGCCACACCGCCUGGUUCACGCCCGAUCUCGUUUUAUCUCGGAAGCUAAGAUAGGGUGGGCCUGGUUAGUACUUGGAUGGGAGACCGCCUGGGAAUACCAGGUGCUGUAAGAU
Scophthalmus maximus (turbot) is the source of this 119-nucleotide ribosomal RNA. Lineage: Eukaryota; Metazoa; Chordata; Actinopteri; Pleuronectiformes; Scophthalmidae. The record is from Ensembl.